AUCGAUGUGUACUUGGCCAAAAGUCUGGCAGAGAAGCUCUAUCUGUUUCAGUACCCUGUGCGUCCAGCCUCGAUGACCUACGAUGACAUUCCGCACCUCUCAGCCAAGAUCAAGCCUAAGCAGCAGAAGGAGGAGGCGGAGCGAAGAUGUGGGACGCAGGCCUGAUAUGUCUGGUGCCUAAGGGGAUGGGGAGAGCUGGAGGCACCUGCCCCGUCCAUAGGCCGGCCACAGCUCAAGCCCAGAGAUGCCACGUGGAGCUGUUCCUCCAGUAUUGCCAGCUCUGCUGAGUUUUCAAGAGCAGUUGGUAGAGCUUGAGAUGGCCAUGGACACCCUGAAUCCCAACUAUUGCCGCAGCAAAGGGGAGCAGAUCGCAUUGAACGUGGAUGGCGCCUGCACUGACGAGACCAGCACAUACUCCUCGAAGCUGAUGGACAAGCAGAUCUUCUGCUCUUCUCAGACCACCAGUAACACAUCCCGCUAUGCGGCUGCGCUCUACAGGAAAGGUGAGCUGCACCUGACUCCUUUACAUGGCAUCCUGCAGCUGCGACCCAGCUUCUCCUACCUGGAUAAAGCUGACGCCAAGCACCGCGAGAGGGAGGCAGCCAAUGAGGCGGGAGACUCUUCGCAGGAUGAGGCAGAAGAAGAUGUUAAGCAGAUCACGGUGCGGUUCUCCCGGCCAGAGUCGGAGCAGGCCCGCCAGCGCCGAGUGCAGUCCUACGAGUUCCUGCAAAAGAAGCAUGCCGAAGAGCCCUGGGUGCACCUGCAUUACUACGGCCUCAGGGACAGCCGUUCUGAGUACGAGCGCCAGUACCUGCUGUGCCAGGGCUCCAGUGGGGUUGAGAACACGGAGCUCGUCAAGUCACCCAGUGAGUACCUCAUGAUGCUGAUGCCACCCAGCCAGGAGGAAGAGAAAGACAAGCCUGUGGCCCCCAGCAAUGUCCUGUCCAUGGCCCAGCUGCGUACCCUGCCCCUGGCCGAUCAGAUCAAGAUCCUGAUGAAGAAUGUGAAGGUCAUGCCAUUUGCCAACUUGAUGAGCCUUCUAGGCCCCUCUAUCGACUCUGUGGCUGUUCUGCGUGGCAUCCAGAAGGUGGCGAUGUUAGUCCAGGGAAACUGGGUGGUGAAGAGUGACAUCCUAUACCCCAGAGACUCUUCCAGCCCACACAGCGGUGUGCCUGCAGAGGUGCUCUGCCGGGGCCGAGACUUUGUGAUGUGGAAGUUCACGCAGAGCCGCUGGGUGGUGAGGAAAGAGGUGGCAGCGGUGACUAAGCUCUGUGCGGAGGAUGUGAAGGACUUUCUGGAGCACAUGGCCGUGGUGAGGAUCAACAAAGGCUGGGAGUUCAUACUGCCUUAUGACAUGGAGUUCAUCAAGAAGCACCCGGAUGUGGUCCAGCGGCAGCACAUGCUGUGGACCGGCAUCCAGGCCAAAUUAGAAAAAGUCUAUAGUCUUGUGAAGGAAACCAUGCCAAAGAAGCCGGAUGGACAGUCAGUGCCUGCUGGGCUGGUCUCUGGGGAUCAGCGGGUCCAGGUUGCCAAAACCAAGGCGCAGAAGAACCACGCACUGCUGGAACGGGAGCUGCAGCGCAGGAAGCAGCAGAUGCAGGCGCCUGCUGUCCUGCCCGGCAUGCGGAUCAAGGAGGAGCCCAUGAGUGAGGAGGGAGAGGAGGAGGAGGAAGGGCAGGAAGCGGAGGAGGAAGAGGAGCCCAUGGACACUUCCCCCAGCGGUGGCCUCAACAGCAGGCUGGCCAAUGGGCUGCCUGCUGGGCGGGCAGCGGGUGGGGACAGCUUCAAUGGGCACCCGCCCCCGGGCAGUGCCAACACCCCUGUGGCCCGGGAACUGAGGGCCUUCGUGGAGGCCACCUUCCAGAGACAGUUUGUGCUCACGCUGAGCGAACUCAAGCGCCUCUUUAACCUGCACCUGGCCAGCCUGCCGCCAGGCCACACACUGUUCAGUGGCAUCUCUGACCGCAUGCUGCAGGACACGGUGCUGGCCGCCGGCUGCAAGCAGAUACUGGUGCCUUUUCCCCCACAGACUGCUGCUUCACCGGAUGAGCAGAAGGUGUUUGCCCUCUGGGAGUCUGGAGACAUGAGCGAUCAGCAUCGACAGGUUUUGCUUGAAAUUUUUUCCAAAAAUUACCGGGUGCGCCGGAACAUGAUCCAGUCUCGGUUGACUCAAGAAUGUGGAGAAGAUCUGAGUAAACAGGAAGUGGAUAAAGUGCUAAAGGACUGCUGUGUAAGCUAUGGUGGUAUGUGGUACCUUAAAGGGACAGUACAGUCUUGACAGUAGUAGUAAACCACUAACCCCAAUGAAUCCAAGCCUGAGGAAGGACAGCAGAGCCAGCAGAGGUAGAAGUGGUUCUCGACUUGCUUCAGGAAACACUGAACAAAAAGAACUGACCAUCGGGUGGCCUGGGGCAUUGCAUUGUCCAGUGGACAGAGGUGAUCAUUCUUAAUGGGUUGCAGGGUCAGCUUAAGUUCGAUCGCUCCCAGAAGAGACCAACCGGGACCUUCUUUAGUACAGUUUGAAAUUCCUGAUGUAUUUUGCUUAUUAUUUGGUUUCAUUCUCAUAAUAAAGAGAGUGUAUAUUGAAACGGACAGGACGAUGAAAAUCAUAGUUUAAUAUUUUACUUUUUAAACUUAAUGCCAACGAGGUCUAAGUUAUGUUUACAAGAUGAAGCAAAUCCAAGGUUUUUAAUAUUUAAAAUACCUAGAAGCCAAUACUUAGUCUUGGAUUAUCUAUCUGCUAAGACUUCUGCCAUUUUCAUGAAACAAACCAAAUUGAAUUGUUUUACUGUUGGGUUUCUGCGACCACUUUACCUUUUAAAACAACCUAUGUUACAUGGCAGUCUCAACUGUUUACAUGAAUCCUAGCAAAAAAAUUAGAAUCAAAUUCAUUUAUUCUUGAUGUUUGCAUAAGGUUGCAAACAAAACGAGGUAAGUAUGGAACAAUGUAUAAGCGAGGUUAUCACACUUUGAUGUAAAAAUUUAUAUUUUGUGUAUUUUUAAAAUAAAUGCUAACAGUAAACUGGCAACAUGGUGCUGCAGUCUUCAAGUGGGCUUCCGAUGGGUGUUUGUCUGUGAUCUGAAAGCAGCAAAUGUACCUGAGAUGGCGGGGAGCUAAUAAAGGGACGGAGAACUCCUUAGAGCAGCGCUGUCCAGUGAAAAUAUUAUUGAUGCGCAAGACUAUUCAAUCGGGAA
Molecule: RNA transcript, 3195 nt
Organism: Trichechus manatus latirostris (Florida manatee)
Lineage: Eukaryota; Metazoa; Chordata; Mammalia; Sirenia; Trichechidae
Gene: POLR3E
Gene name: RNA polymerase III subunit E
Exons: 21
Source: RefSeq, a predicted model, not a curated record